UCGCAAUGCCCGAAAGGGUGACGAAGCGACGCCGCGUGCGGGAAGAAGGCCUUCGGGUUGUAAACCGCUGUCGGGAGUUAAGAAAUGUAAGGAUGUUAAUAGCAUCUUUGCUUGACUAAGGCUCCGGAGGAAGCCACGGCUAACUCUGUGCCAGCAGCCGCGGUAAUACAGAGGCGGCAAGCGUUGUUCGGAAUUAUUGGGCGUAAAGAGCACGUAGGCGGCUAUGUAAGUCGGUUGUGAAAGCCUUCCGCUCAACGGGAGAACAGCAUCCGAUACUGCAUGGCUUGAGUGCGGGAGGGGAGAGUGGAACUUCUGGUGGAGCGGUGAAAUGCGUAGAUAUCAGAAGGAACGCCGGCGGCGAAAGCGGCUCUCUGGCCCAUAACUGACGCUGAGUGUGCGAAAGCUAGGGGAGCAAACGGGGUUAGAUACCCCGGUAGUCCUAGCCGUAAACGAUGGGCACUAAGUAGAGGGGUUUU
Molecule: ribosomal RNA, 476 nt
Filed under: uncultured Planctomycetales bacterium
Lineage: Bacteria; Pseudomonadati; Planctomycetota; Planctomycetia; Planctomycetales
Description: bacterial SSU rRNA
Rfam family: Bacterial small subunit ribosomal RNA
Source: RNAcentral